Molecule: ribosomal RNA, 468 nt
Filed under: uncultured bacterium
Lineage: Bacteria
Description: partial 16S ribosomal RNA
Rfam family: Bacterial small subunit ribosomal RNA
Source: RNAcentral
GACGAACGUUGGCGGCGUGCUUAACACAUGCGAGUCGAACGGAAAGGCCCUGCUUUUGUGGGGUGCUCGAGUGGCGAACGGGUGAGUAACACGUGAGUAACCUGCCCUUGACUUUGGGAUAACUUCAGGAAACUGGGGCUAAUACCGGAUAGGAGCUCCUGCUGCAUGGUGGGGGUUGGAAAGUUUCGGCGGUUGGGGAUGGACUCGCGGCUUAUCAGCUUGUUGGUGGGGUAGUGGCUUACCAAGGCUUUGACGGGUAGCCGGCCUGAGAGGGUGGCCGGCCACAUUGGGACUGAGAUACGGCCCAGACUCCUACGGGAGGCAGCAGUGGGGAAUAUUGCACAAUGGGCGGAAGCCUGAUGCAGCAACGCCGCGUGCGGGAUGACGGCCUUCGGGUUGUAAACCGCUUUCGCCUGUGACGAAGCGUGAGUGACGGUAAUGGGUAAAGAAGCACCGGCUAACUACGUG